GCGAGGGUCAGAGACGGAGGAGAGAGCGAGGGUCAGAGACUGGGGAGAGAGCGAGGGUCAGAGACUGGGGAGAGAGCGAGGGUCAGAGACGGGGGAGAGAGCGAGGGAGAGAGCGAGGGUCAGAGACGGGGGAGAGAGCGAGGGUCAGAGACGGGGAGAGAGCGAGGGUCAGAGACGGGGGAGAGAGCGAGGGUCAGAGACGGGGGAGAGAGCGAGGGUCAGAGACGGGGAGAGAGCGAGGGUCAGAGACGGGGGAGAGAGCGAGGGUCAGAGA
Long non-coding RNA from Oncorhynchus tshawytscha (Chinook salmon), 274 nucleotides. Lineage: Eukaryota; Metazoa; Chordata; Actinopteri; Salmoniformes; Salmonidae. The record is from Ensembl.